This 632-nucleotide long non-coding RNA is filed under the name Oreochromis niloticus (Nile tilapia). RNAcentral describes it as "lncRNA (ENSONIG00000033688.1)". Lineage: Eukaryota; Metazoa; Chordata; Actinopteri; Cichliformes; Cichlidae. The record is from RNAcentral.
AUGCUGCUGGGAGUGAUUUUGCUGAAUCAGUUACAAUUGUCUCUGACAUUAGUAAAGUCAUUUGGUUUACCUAAACCACUGGCAGAGCUAUACUAUACUCUGACUACAACAAAAACCACAAAGCUGCUGUGUUACAUAUUGGAUCAUCCCAGUCUCCAGCUGACUGCUGCUGUGCUGUUAAAAGAUCAUAAAAUCUGGGAGCCUCUGCUGCCGCUGUGUAUCUGCAUGCCACAAUGCACUGAUAAAAGAAGAAGUCAAACCUGGGUGAGCAGGCGAGUGAGCUGCUCACUUGCCCCUCCUCCUCACUGUUCCCCAUCUGCUUCCUGUCCCCUUUCUAAAAGUGUUCUGCAAGUUGUGCAUGCAUUACAUUUGGAGCUGAAGAAAGACUUCAUUUGGAUGCAAAAGUUCAACUCCUAAAACAUCAUGUAUAGCACAGAGUUCGGGUGAAAGCGCUGUAAAUAGCCUGAAUUGUUUGGUGGGGAAGGGUUUCAGUACAUGGUUUCGUGAGUUUAAUUGGCAUCAUGAAUCCAUGUGAAUACUUGCACCUUGGCCAUGAGCAUAUAUGUAGUUUUGACUCACCUUGAUUGUGCUCAUUUCACAUUUAAAUGUAAUAAAUGAUUUUAAGAAUUUUC